This 466-nucleotide ribosomal RNA is filed under the name uncultured bacterium. RNAcentral describes it as "bacterial SSU rRNA". It matches the Rfam family "Bacterial small subunit ribosomal RNA", at positions 30 to 491 of the family's 1533-position model. The record is from RNAcentral.
AUUGAACGCUGGCGGCAUGCCUUACACAUGCAAGUCGAACGGCAGCACGGGAGCAAUCCUGGUGGCGAGUGGCGAACGGGUGAGUAAUAUAUCGGAACGUGCCCAGUCGUGGGGAUAACGUAGCGAAAGUUACGCUAAUACCGCAUACGAUCUAAGGAUGAAAGCGGGGGGAUCGCAAGACCUCGCGCGAUUGGAGCGGCCGAUAUCAGAUUAGGUAGUUGGUGAGGUAAAGGCUCACCAAGCCGACGAUCUGUAGCUGGUCUGAGAGGACGACCAGCCACACUGGGACUGAGACACGGCCCAGACUCCUACGGGAGGCAGCAGUGGGGAAUUUUGGACAAUGGACGCAAGUCUGAUCCAGCCAUUCCGCGUGCAGGAUGAAGGCCCUCGGGUUGUAAACUGCUUUGUACGGAACGAAAGGUUUGUCUUAAUACGAUGAGCUCAUGACGGUACCGUAAGAAUAAGC